Molecule: ribosomal RNA, 872 nt
Filed under: uncultured bacterium
Lineage: Bacteria
Description: bacterial SSU rRNA
Rfam family: Bacterial small subunit ribosomal RNA
Source: RNAcentral
AUUGAACGCUGGCGGCAUGCCUUACACAUGCAAGUCGAACGGCAGCACGGGAGCAAUCCUGGUGGCGAGUGGCGAACGGGUGAGUAAUAUAUCGGAACGUGCCCAGUCGUGGGGGAUAACGCAGCGAAAGCUGUGCUGAUACCGCAUACGAUCUAUGGAUGAAAGCGGGGGAUCGCAAGACCUCGCGCGAUUGGAGCGGCCGAUAUCAGAUUAGGUAGUUGGUGGGGUAAAAGCCCACCAAGCCGACGAUCUGUAGCUGGUCUGAGAGGACGACCAGCCACACUGGAACUGAGACACGGUCCAGACUCCUACGGGAGGCAGCAGUGGGGAAUUUUGGACAAUGGGCGCAAGCCUGAUCCAGCAAUGCCGCGUGCAGGAUGAAGGCCUUCGGGUUGUAAACUGCUUUUGUACGGAACGAAACGGUGAUCCCUAAUACGGAUUGCUAAUGACGGUACCGUAAGAAUAAGCACCGGCUAACUACGUGCCAGCAGCCGCGGUAAUACGUAGGGUGCGAGCGUUAAUCGGAAUUACUGGGCGUAAAGCGUGCGCAGGCGGUUAUAUAAGACAGAUGUGAAAUCCCCGGGCUUAACCUGGGACCUGCAUUUGUGACUGUAUAGCUAGAGUACGGUAGAGGGGGAUGGAAUUCCGCGUGUAGCAGUGAAAUGCGUAGAUAUGCGGAGGAACACCGAUGGCGAAGGCAAUCCCCUGGACCUGUACUGACGCUCAUGCACGAAAGCGUGGGGAGCAAACAGGAUUAGGUACCCUGGUAGUCCACGCCCUAAACGAUGUCAACUGGUUGUUGGGUCUUCACUGACUCAGUAACGAAGCUAACGCGUGAAGUUGACCGCCUGGGGAGUACGGCCGCAAGGUUG